GCGGUAUACCCUCAUACUUUGCUGAACCAAAACAACAGAAGAUGCCUCAGUUCUGCUCGGCUUAUUCGUGUUUAAAUCUACGAACUGUUGAUGUCAGGGACCGGGGGAUAACUUUUCACAAGUUGAAAACUACAGAACUACAAUAACCUCCACAAAAGCCCAAAGUAGUGAGUAUGUGGCCUCUCAAGAUGACCCAGAAACUUGUAGUUCAGACCUGCAACCUCAGUCUAAUGAUGAUCAUUGCUAUGCUUUGCCAGCUUCUCUUACCGCUGUCACUGCAAAACAUAAGAGAGCGUUGGCAAGAGUGGAAUAUCUGGAGCGGGACAAGAAAAACACCAUGGCCAGAGAGAAGAGGGCAAAGACCACAGCAAAGUCACUUUUGGGGGAAUUGAGUGAAAAAAAUCUCAUUACUGAAGAACUCAAAGAACGGCUUGAAUUCUACUCUGCAUUUGUGCAU
This is a long non-coding RNA of Xiphophorus maculatus (southern platyfish), 457 nucleotides long. RefSeq lists it as uncharacterized. The record is from RefSeq and is a predicted model, not a curated record. Lineage: Eukaryota; Metazoa; Chordata; Actinopteri; Cyprinodontiformes; Poeciliidae. The transcript is spliced from 3 exons.